AGUGAACGCUGGCGGUAGGCCUAACACAUGCAAGUCGAACGGCAGCACAGUAAGAGCUUGCUCUUACGGGUGGCGAGUGGCGGACGGGUGAGGAAUACAUCGGAAUCUACUUUUUCGUGGGGGAUAACGUAGGGAAACUUACGCUAAUACCGCAUACGACCUACGGGUGAAAGCAGGGGAUCUUCGGACCUUGCGCGAUUGAAUGAGCCGAUGUCGGAUUAACUAGUUGGCGGGGUAAAGGCCCACCAAGGCGACGAUCCGUAGCUGGUCUGAGAGGAUGAUCAGCCACACUGGAACUGAGACACGGUCCAGACUCCUACGGGAGGCAGCAGUGGGGAAUAUUGGACAAAGGGCGCAAGCCUGAUCCAGCCAUACCGCGUGGGUGAAGAAGGCCUUCGGGUUGUAAAGCCCUUUUGUUGGGAAAGAAAAGCAGCAGGUUAAUACCCCGCUGUUCUGACGGUACCCAAAGAAUAAGCACCGGCUAACUUCGUG
This 492-nucleotide ribosomal RNA is filed under the name uncultured bacterium. RNAcentral's name for it is "partial 16S ribosomal RNA". It matches the Rfam family "Bacterial small subunit ribosomal RNA", at positions 29 to 507 of the family's 1533-position model. The record is from RNAcentral.